Molecule: ribosomal RNA, 465 nt
Filed under: uncultured bacterium
Lineage: Bacteria
Description: bacterial SSU rRNA
Rfam family: Bacterial small subunit ribosomal RNA
Source: RNAcentral
CCUACGGGAUGCACCAGUGGGGAAUAUUGCACAAUGGGCGCAAGCCUGAUGCAGCCAUGCCGCGUGUAUGAAGAAGGCCUUCGGGUUGUAAAGUACUUUCAGCGGGGAGGAAGGCGAUAAGGUUAAUAACCUUGUCGAUUGACGUUACCGACAGAAGAAGCACCGGCUAACUCCGUGCCAGCAGCCGCGGUAAUACGGAGGGUGCAAGCGUUAAUCGGAAUUACUGGGCGUAAAGCGCACGCAGGCGGUUGAUUGAGUCAGAUGUGAAAUCCCCGGGCUUAACCCGGGAAUUGCAUCUGAUACUGGUCAGCUAGAGUCUUGUAGAGGGGGGUAGAAUUCCAUGUGCAGCGGUGAAAUGCGUAGAGAUGUGGAGGAAUACCGGUGGCGAAGGCGGCCCCCUGGACAAAGACUGACGCUCAGGUGCGAAAGCGUGGGGAGCAAACAGGAUUAGAUACCCGAGUAGUC